RNAcentral lists this unclassified non-coding RNA (225 nucleotides) under Hevea brasiliensis (rubber tree). Lineage: Eukaryota; Viridiplantae; Streptophyta; Magnoliopsida; Malpighiales; Euphorbiaceae. The record is from RNAcentral.
AUAAGAACUCUCCCCCGAUCUCUUAGGGUGUUUGGUUUAGAAUUUGAUGAAGGGUCUCGGAUAAGAACUCUCCUCCGAGUUCUGUGUUUUUGCUUGAAUGAAGAUUAGGUAAGAACUCUCCCCUGACCUCUUAAAGUAUUCGGCUUAAAGUUUUAAUGAAGGAUCUCAGAUAAGAACUCUCUUUCGAUCUCCGUGUUUUUGUUUGAAUGAGGAUCAGGUAAGAAC